RNAcentral lists this ribosomal RNA (1517 nucleotides) under uncultured fungus. RNAcentral describes it as "eukaryotic LSU rRNA". The stretch from base 870 to 1517 matches the Rfam family "Eukaryotic large subunit ribosomal RNA", at positions 1 to 667 of the family's 3401-position model. Lineage: Eukaryota; Fungi. The record is from RNAcentral.
CUUGGUCAUUUAGAGGAAGUAAAAGUCGUAACAAGGUUCCGGGAGCGGGCAGAAAUCCUUCUCAACCCUCUAUCGAAGCCUUGAAUUAGUAGUUCACUCGAUUGAAUCCAACUCAAUCAAGUGAGCAACACCGGAGAUCUGACUGGGAGUCUAGGUUUUAAGCCUAGCUACCAGCAGCCCUUUAGACAUUAAUGUAUGCUAAUUGGGUUCACAGAUCAAUUACUGGUGGCCUAAACUCAUUCACGGACACUAAUUUCUCUUCUGGGCGCUUUGGUGGACUCUUGCUUCGGUAAGAUAAUCCAAUUCUCCCUUGAUAACUUUUUGAGAGAUGAGCGAGCGUUUAAGAGGAUAAUUAGGUUAAAAUAUGACCGGCCCUAUCCAGAUAAUGGAUAGAAAAUUGUGUUCCGUAGGUGAACCUGCGGAAGGAUCAUUAAAAGGUUUCGGGUACCCAGUGCCCAAACUUCAACCCUAUGCUUUAACUAAACCUGUUUCUUUGCCGGUUUCGGCCGGCAGAAGUUUUCUCAAACUCAUUAUAAAUUUGUCUUCUGAAUCAAAAAUUAAAUAAAUUAAAACUUUCAACAACGGAUCUCUUGGUUCUGGCAUCGAUGAAGAACGCAGCGAAAUGCGAUAAGUAAUGUGAAUUGCAGAAUUCAGUGAAUCAUCGAAUCUUUGAACGCAUAUUGCGCCCUUUGGCAUUCCGAAGGGCAUACCUGUUCGAGCGUCAUUACACCCCUCAAAGUUAACUCUUUGGCGUUGGGCAAUGCCUAAAGGCAUGCCUCAAAAUCAGCGAUGGUGAUAUUCAACCACAGACGCACAAACGUUGUCUAGCUGGCGGGAUGUUGUCAGGCAAUUGAUGACUUUCUAAAUGUUGACCUCGGAUCAGGUAGGAAUACCCGCUGAACUUAAGCAUAUCAAUAAGCGGAGGAAAAGAAACCAACAGGGAUUGCCUCAGUAACGGCGAGUGAAGCGGCAAAAGCUCAAAUUUGAAAUCUGACCCUUCGGGUCCGAGUUGUAAUUUGCAGAGGAUGUUUCGGGUAAGAUUUUGGUCUAAGUUCCUUGGAACAGGACGUCAUAGAGGGUGAGAAUCCCGUACGUGACCGUUAAUCGCACCCAUGUGAAACUCCUUCGACGAGUCGAGUUGUUUGGGAAUGCAGCUCAAAAUGGGUGGUAAAUUUCAUCUAAAGCUAAAUAUUGGCCAGAGACCGAUAGCGCACAAGUAGAGUGAUCGAAAGAUGAAAAGCACUUUGAAAAGAGAGUUAAACAGUAUGUGAAAUUGUUGAAAGGGAAGCGCUUGCAACCAGACUUGUUUAUAGGGUUCAGCCGUCGUUCUCGUCGGUGUAUUUCCCUAUUAUCAGGCCAGCAUCAGUUUAGGUGGAAGGUCAAAGGUCUUGGGAAUGUAUCAUCCUCCGGGAUGUCUUAUAGCCCUCGGUGUAAUGCUUCCCUCCUGGACUGAGGAACGCGCUUUUGCUCGGAUGCUGGCGUAAUGGUUGUAAGCGACCCGUCUUGAAACACGGACC